Molecule: long non-coding RNA, 510 nt
Organism: Mastomys coucha (southern multimammate mouse)
Lineage: Eukaryota; Metazoa; Chordata; Mammalia; Rodentia; Muridae
Exons: 2
Source: RefSeq, a predicted model, not a curated record
AUCCUUCCCCAUUCCCUGUUGCCCCAUAGUGGACCCUGAUGGAUCAACCCCUCUCCCGCACCUGCUCUUGUUGCUGCUGAGCCAUCAGCUCCUUCCUCCGUUCCAAAGCCAUCUGCCGACGCCGAGCCUCCCAGUGGUAGGCGCUACCCAUGAUGGUGUGGUAAAAGAAAAUCCCAGCAGGGUGUGAGAGCAGGAAAAGCCCAAAAUGAUGCCACUGCACCCAAACACUUCUGUUGCCUCCCACCCCGAUCACACCUGCCUGUUACCCGGACCACCUCACAAUGUGGCCACUGUGGCCACUGCCAGGGCAACUGGGCAGCCCUCCUGAGGUGUUGAAGGUGGAGGCCAUUUUUACCAAGGCUCAUAGGGAGCACCUGUGAGUCCUCCAGUCCUGAAGAGGAAAGAUGGAGACUCUGCUCGGCCUGACUUCUCAGUGGGCCCUGGAGACAAUUUGACAGAACCGUUUGCAUUGAGUCAAGAUGAAAGAAAAUACAAACGGCAAAUGAGCUU